UCGCUCUCCUAAUCCCACUUACRCCUGUGSACUUUAACUUUGGAGGGAGGGUAAAACCUGCCUUCGAAAUUCACAAAYUCUCGKUUUUAAAUUAUGAAUGUUUAUCUGCCGCAAGGCAAAAUUUAAUACAACUUUUAACAACGGAUCUCUUGGCUCUCGCAUCGAUGAAGAACGCAGCGAAAUGCGAUAAGUAAUGUGAAUUGCAGAAUUCAGUGAAUCAUCGAAUCUUUGAACGCACCUUGCGCUCCCUGGUAUUCCGGGGAGCACGCCUGUUCGAGUGUCAUGAAACUCUCAAACAAAGUAKAUUGGUUUCUACCUCUGUUUGGAUUUGGACUCUGCUGCGUCAAUGCAGCUGGUCUUAAAUAUAUUAGCUGAUCCUAGCGAAGGUUUGGUUCUACUCAGCAUGAUAAUUAUCUGAUGUUGAGGACAGUCUUAGGACUGGCCAGGCUCUCUAUGGAUUGCUUCUAAUCGUCUUUGGGCAAUCAUUCAAUAUCUGACCUCGAAUCAGGUGGGACUACCCGCUGAACUUAA
RNAcentral lists this ribosomal RNA (531 nucleotides) under uncultured fungus. Its description in RNAcentral is "eukaryotic LSU rRNA". The stretch from base 130 to 283 matches the Rfam family "5.8S ribosomal RNA". Lineage: Eukaryota; Fungi. The record is from RNAcentral.